CUAGAAGACACCAAUUGAAUGGUCACCGAAGGCGGCCACCGAGAAAUAGCAACCAAAAUGACACAACAAUAACGCAUAAAGGGGAUUGAAAAAGCGAAACCGCCUGCGUUAAGCGGCCAUCAAAAACAUGCAUGACAAAUUGGUAAAUGCAGUAGACACAUCACGCGUCCAGAACCCUCCUACGCCACAACAUGCAUGCAGCCGAUAGAAACAAUCCAUCGCCCGACAAACCAAAUAAUUGACCAGGAACCAAAUCGAUGGAAAACCGCAACAGACACUGAUCCAGCAUACCCCAUAAUCUCCUGAGAAUUAAAUCUGUCGCACCCGGACUAAGAUUAGUUCGGUAGCCAAAGAAAUAUUAAUGAAACAGGAAAAACAAAGAAAGAUUUGUGCUCUGUACAUGCCUAUGCUCUCCUCAUCAAGAAGGAUUUACCUAUGCAAGGCAUCUUCUAACAUAUAAAGCUUCCUACACUACCCGCCAUUCUAGCGCCCCCGCGUGCGCGAUGCUCGUUCGGCCACUGGAUUCCUUCCCUGUAGCUCCCUUUUGGCUGCUGGCGUGUGGUGGGCCGCCGGUUUUUUUCCACGUCCAUGGCUGUUUGAAGAGCGAAUGACAAGUGGGGCUCGUUAUGUGUGGGUCAAAAGAAUGACGUGCCUUUCGUUUAAUUCUGCGUAACAAAAGCAAGAAACCCUAGACGGACGAGGGGUAAAAGGAAAAAGUAAAGCAGCCGCCUUAUCUCCUCGCUCGCUCCCUCCUCUCUCCCACGCCGCCCCGUCCCUCUCCCUGCUCGUCCCCUCAUCUCCUCUUUCCUCGAUGCCGGAUCCCCUGCUUGCCUCUCCGACCUAGGCCAGAGCCUCGCCGGCAGCUCCCCCAAGUCGGCGCCCGCUAGCUGCUGGUGUGGAGCCGAGCUUCUCUGACGGCGACGGCGACAAGCUUGUCCAGGUCGUCAUGGCCGGCGACGACGAACGGGAGGGCAGAGGUGUUUCCAUGGCCACCUUUGCCGAGAGCUCGCACAUCUUCAACCCUCAGCCAUGUUAGUUUUGGGGUGGCUAUUUUUUGGAUCCGCUGCUGCCGCGCGCCGUGCGUCUGGAUCAGGCACAGGUCGCCGCCAUAGGAGAGCAGGGUGGCGUGGUCUUUGUGGUGGGCAUGGAGCAAGGGAGGAUGAGGCGCUGGUAUGAGGAAAGGAGCAGCAAGGUCGGAGUUCCAGGCGGUGCUGGCCGUCGUCACAUGUCCCCAGUCUAGAUCUAAGAAAAAAGAGAAGGGGAUGAAUCUGGAGGAAGAGCUUGGUGAAGAACAAGGUGUUCGUAAUGGCAACGGUGGUAAUCAACGAUGAGAAAAAAGGACCGAGAUUGUAUUUGUACUAGCAGGUGAUGCCUUAAUUUAGUUCAUGGCAUUAUGGCGGGACGCAUGUGGUAAAUGGUUACAAUGAUGGCUCAUGGAGUUAAAAUUUUGUGUUCUGUACAGAUUUGAGAUGAUAGAAAUUCAAAAUAGAUCAUGACCACAGCUUGCGGAGUUUCAAAAUCUAACAUCUCUAAUUUCCGCAUCAAGCUAAGUGGUCCCGUUGUUUAGCAUUUAGGCACUUUCUAUUUGUUGCUUCAAUGUAAUGUUUAAGGUUGUUGCUUUAACAGUGUUUGAUCUAGAUUAUCAGUAAAACACACUCACAAUUAGGUGUUCUUCCUUGGUUAGCUGCUUGCAUUUCUUAUGUUUGAUUGGUUCAAGCCAGCAUGACUCUUUUUCUUUGCAUUUCAUAGGGUUCCUUUGCUACUGUUGGUUGUGUCCUUGCUUCUUGGAGAGGAGGGAGGACAGAUGAUUUUGAUGCCAGAAAUAGGGGAGGAACAUAAGGUCAAGUAUCCAUGUUGUUUGGUACCUUAUAGAAGAUGCAUUACGCAAUGGUCUCGGCAACUGCAGCGAGAUUUCACAGUCAUGAUUUUUCCAUAUUGGUAUGGAUUCUAAAACCGUAUAGGAAAAUGCCAUCUUUCACAAAAUGAAACUAUGCCUACAGAGCUGUUGAGGGAUGCCCUGUAGUGGACUGGCUGAGACUGUCGAGCAUCAGGUUGCAAAUCU
This is a long non-coding RNA of Triticum aestivum (bread wheat), 2062 nucleotides long. RefSeq lists it as uncharacterized. The record is from RefSeq and is a predicted model, not a curated record. The transcript is spliced from 7 exons. NCBI's taxonomy places the organism in Eukaryota, Viridiplantae, Streptophyta, Magnoliopsida, Poales, Poaceae.